AGUUAGUCGUGCACAUGGAAUAUUACACGAUAUACUUGACUAUAGAACUGAUAGAAUGCAGAUUACAAAACAAAAUAGAAGAACAAUCAAUUGAGUGGGAAGACCCUGGGACCGGUCCAGCACUCGAAAGCACAUUGACAGAAGGAAAGGAUCAUAAAAAAGUCUGAAAUUUGCACUGUGAGGAUUCAUGCUGUGUGAUCGAAGCAGUAAGCAAGAAUAUAAAUUGACUGAUGGAUGGUGCUUUAUCUCAAAAAUCAGAAUUAGCUUACACCAUAUCAAUGGAAAUUUUUGGUGGAGCAACUAAAACUGUCAGCAAAAAAAGAAAUGUGCACUACUGACGGGGCUCCCCUCAAAAACGGAAAUCUACUACUACUCUCUGAAACAUCCGGAGACAAAAGAAUGCAGUAGAUCAGUCAAAAUUUCAUAAAUUAUUUUACACACUGGAAAUCUACAACAGGUGAUUAGCUCAAGGAUUUUGUAACAAAAUAAAUGCUAUACAGCUACAUGCAACACAUUUUGUACUCAUAUUUAAAAAACAACAACAUUUCAUUGCUUCUCCAGCGUAUGAAGGGCUUCAGAUACUGGUACCUUCAACAUGUGG
This is a non-coding RNA of Styela clava, 601 nucleotides long. Lineage: Eukaryota; Metazoa; Chordata; Ascidiacea; Stolidobranchia; Styelidae. The record is from RefSeq and is a predicted model, not a curated record.